Molecule: ribosomal RNA, 888 nt
Filed under: Sarcopodium circinosetiferum
Lineage: Eukaryota; Fungi; Ascomycota; Sordariomycetes; Hypocreales; Nectriaceae
Description: eukaryotic LSU rRNA
Rfam family: Eukaryotic large subunit ribosomal RNA
Source: RNAcentral
UGAAAGGUUGACCUCGGAUCAGGUAGGAAUACCCGCUGAACUUAAGCAUAUCAAUAAGCGGAGGAAAAGAAACCAACAGGGAUUGCCCUAGUAACGGCGAGUGAAGCGGCAACAGCUCAAAUUUGAAAUCUGGCCCUCGGGUCCGAGUUGUAAUUUGUAGAGGAUGCUUUUGGCGCGGUGCCUUCCGAGUUCCCUGGAACGGGACGCCAUAGAGGGUGAGAGCCCCGUCUGGUUGGACACCAAGCCUCUGUAAAGCUCCUUCGACGAGUCGAGUAGUUUGGGAAUGCUGCUCUAAAUGGGAGGUAUAUGUCUUCUAAAGCUAAAUACCGGCCAGAGACCGAUAGCGCACAAGUAGAGUGAUCGAAAGAUGAAAAGCACUUUGAAAAGAGAGUUAAAUAGCACGUGAAAUUGUUGAAAGGGAAGCGUUUAUGACCAGACUUGGGCUUGGUUGAUCAUCCCGCGUUCUCGCGGGUGCACUCUUCCGGCUCAGGCCAGCAUCAGUUCGCUGCGGGGGAUAAAGGCGUUGGGAAUGUGGCUCCCUCGGGAGUGUUAUAGCCCUUCGUGUAAUACCCUGCGGUGGACUGAGGACCGCGCUUCGGCAAGGAUGCUGGCGUAAUGGUCAUCAACGACCCGUCUUGAAACACGGACCAAGGAGUCGUCUUCGUAUGCGAGUGUUCGGGUGUCAAACCCCUACGCGUAAUGAAAGUGAACGCAGGUGAGAGCUUCGGCGCAUCAUCGACCGAUCCUGAUGUUCUCGGAUGGAUUUGAGUAAGAGCAUACGGGGCCGGACCCGAAAGAAGGUGAACUAUGCCUGUAUAGGGUGAAGCCAGAGGAAACUCUGGUGGAGGCUCGCAGCGGUUCUGACGUGCAAAUCGAUCGUCAAAUAUG